RNAcentral lists this long non-coding RNA (2682 nucleotides) under Homo sapiens (human). RNAcentral's name for it is "HSALNT0316052". Lineage: Eukaryota; Metazoa; Chordata; Mammalia; Primates; Hominidae. The record is from RNAcentral.
UGAUGGAGACAUUGCAGUUAGCACAGCAGAAAUAUGUGUCGCCCUCAUGAAGCAUGCAUUCUAGUAGGGAGGGACAGCACAUCAAUAAAGGAAGAUUAUUUCAUACGGGGACAAGUUCUAUAAAAAUAAUAAAACUGUAGUGGAGAAUGAGUGACUAAGGGUGGUCAGUUAGCUCUUAAAAUAACAAUUUUAUAUUGAAUACUAUAGUGAGUUACACAAUCUUUAUCUGAGUGAAAUCCUUUGGUACUUAUUCAGACAAGAGUUCUGACUCUCAUGCUUGAGGAUAAGAUUUUACAUUUCAGUAUUACAUUGAAGAUGUUUCAUUUUUAACCAGACUAACUUAGUAUAUUGUUAUUUUUAAUGUGACCAAAGAAAUAUUUUCAUAGAAGCUAAUGCUGAGUCUUUUGAUAAUUUGCCGUAUCUUAGUCAAUCCCAAAAAAUUUAUUUUCUACUAUUUACAUAUUAUCCUAGUGGAUAUUACAUUACUUACUGAAGCCUUUGGUUCUAUGUUUCAUCUACUCAGACUUAAUUCAGGAAGAGCUUCAUCCAGAUGUUUUGUUUAUUUGUUUCUCGAUUACAUGUAUGAGAUUUCAGAAUUUAUGAGAUCAUAGGUCAAGUGAAAGGUCACAGUUGAGAGGUCAAGUAAGAAGCUAAAAUUUGUGAAACCAAAGAAAUGACAGGACAGUGCCAAAUGAAAGGUCAAAAGUCAAGUGACAGACUCAGUACAGAUGAAAGCAAGUGUUGGACAAAAUCAUCUGGCAACACAGUACACUAUAGACCAUCAGUGCCCUUGUGAUCAUGUGGCUGACUGGAGGCUGUGGCUGGCUGGUGCUGCCCUGUACCACAUAUAGCUAGCCCAGCAAAAGAUCAGAAUUCAAAAAAAUCCAGUUUCUACUGAAUGCGUGUCUUUCUGGACCAUUAUAAAGUAAAAAAAAAGGUUAUGGUAUUGUCAAAAAAAGAAGCAAUUAGUGGCAAAGAAAGCAUAAGUAUGUACACAUAUGUUUAAUGUGCUGUAAAAUACAAGGAUCUGUACAAUUAAAAAGAAGGUGCUUUACCCUUUAACAUGUGCCAAACGUCUUUCACCCCCAUUUUACUGCAUAUACCUCCUGUUUCUACAAAGCACCCAAGAAGUAGUUCAUCCCCAGAUGACAUUUCUGAUACCGCAUGACCCAGAUUGCCACAAUUUGGGUGAAAUAGCCUGAAGAAUUAUCAAAUAAGAUAGCUAGGAUGAUGUUCUGUAUUCUCUGGUGUUGGUACAGCACCAUGUUUGGGACCCAGGUUUUCCUUUUUAGUCUUUGAUCGUAACAUACGCCUGCAUCAUGAGUGACUUUAAAUGAUCAAAUUCAAGUGGCAGCAGAUAUUGCACUGAGCUUAGAAAAAACAGGUCUUGUGCUAGUAUUUCCAUUAUGACUGUUUAGUAUAGUAUUGCCCGGAAUAUGGCAAAACCACCAGAGAUAAUUCUUUUUAAGAAAAUCAUCUGUUUAGCCAAAUCUGUGGUAGAUUUGCGGCACAGACUACAGUAGAGGAGGAACUCAGUAUAAACCACAGAAACUGCUCAGGAACGCUGCAAGGCUGUUGUAAUCAGAUUGCUUGUAGCUACUUGGGCUGUUGUUGGUUCCGUCUGUUGUGAUGAGAGCACAGGGCUAGCUACUAGGUUCUCUGGCGUUCCCAGCAUUGUCUGUUCUGUUGACCUUUGAAUGUAUUUGUCUCAAUUGUUCUUGGGCUGUGGGAGAAAGACUUUCGGAUGAGAAAACAAUGGUUCCCAUCAGGGACACUGCUCCAUACCCACCCUUUGUUUUGGGCUCACUUUCACAGCAACAAAAUCCCAAGUUUGGUCAUGCUGCCCUCCUGCCUCCUAUGUGCUGAUUCCCACUUCUGAAAACACAUCUUGAAUGUGCCUCUUGAAAUGUUGUCAUUUUUCUAAUCUUGUUUCCUUUUUAAAACAAGCAUUUUAUUCCAUGAUUUGCACAGUUCUGCAUCUAUAUCAAUGACUUUUCACCCAUUCCCCCUUUCCAACGCAUUUCUUGGGCAAAAGUUUGUGUCCAGCCUGCCAUUCAGGAAAGGCAAAGGUUUAGCUCAAAUGUGCUACUUUGUGGUAGAUGGUUGGGGUCAAAGCCUGUUCAUGAGAUCUCUGUCCCCAUAACCAGAAAACAAAUCCCACUGAUACCUACCAAUCCUUAUGAUCUGAUACAGAGAAAAGAAAAUCUAUACAGAAUUCUCAGAAACAUUUACUCUAUAGGGCAUUUAGCAAAUAAAUUUCUGGUGUAGGAAAAAUAGGAUAUUAUACCAAAAUUACAACAGAAAGCUCCCCAUCAUACUCCUUAGUAUCGAUACCACACCAUAUCCUAGAUGAAAGGCACCCCCGUCAGUGGGGCAUAGAAAAAACCUAGGGCACGGUAGUCAACUAGAGUAUUCCAGUGGCUCAGAAAAAAAUUCUGAAGCACUCUUCCUUUUCUUGUGAAGAGCUUUUGGGGUUUAAUAAUGGCAGGAGUUCCAGGUUGCUCUGCUUCUCUUGGCCAGGCACUUAACCUACAGGAGGUUCCACCUGAGGUCAUGGGAGUCACUACUAGUGGCUUGGAACUUGAGGAAGAAUAGAGGGGCUCACGGUCCAAAUCAGAGGAGAUGGAGUUUCUGACUUUCAGAGUAAAGCAUGAAUACCUUUUCCUAUGUACAUACUGUUAA